This 209-nucleotide ribosomal RNA is filed under the name uncultured bacterium. Its description in RNAcentral is "partial 16S ribosomal RNA". It matches the Rfam family "Bacterial small subunit ribosomal RNA", at positions 1290 to 1500 of the family's 1533-position model. The record is from RNAcentral.
AGUUCGGAUUGCAGGCUGCAACUCGGCUGCAUGAAGCUGGAAUCGCUAGUAAUCGCGGAUCAGAACGCCGCGGUGAAUGCGUUCCCGGGUCUUGUACACACCGCCCGUCACACCAUGGGAGCCGGAAACGCCCGAAGCCAGCGGCCUAACCGCAAGGAGGGAGCUGUCGAAGGCGGGCCGGUGACCGGGUGAAGUCGUAACAAGGUAGC